CAGCAGCCGCGGUAAUACGUAGGGCGCAAGCGUUAUCCGGAAUUAUUGGGCGUAAAGAGCUCGUAGGCGGUUUGUCGCGUCUGCCGUGAAAGUCCGGGGCUCAACCCCGGAUCUGCGGUGGGUACGGGCAGACUAGAGUGAUGUAGGGGAGACUGGAAUUCCUGGUGUAGCGGUGAAAUGCGCAGAUAUCAGGAGGAACACCGAUGGCGAAGGCAGGUCUCUGGGCAUUAACUGACGCUGAGGAGCGAAAGCAUGGGGAGCGAACAGGAUUAGAUACCCGUGUAGUCCCUGUCUCUUAUAC
RNAcentral lists this ribosomal RNA (301 nucleotides) under uncultured bacterium. Its description in RNAcentral is "partial 16S ribosomal RNA". It matches the Rfam family "Bacterial small subunit ribosomal RNA", at positions 509 to 807 of the family's 1533-position model. The record is from RNAcentral.